Molecule: ribosomal RNA, 403 nt
Filed under: uncultured bacterium
Lineage: Bacteria
Description: bacterial SSU rRNA
Rfam family: Bacterial small subunit ribosomal RNA
Source: RNAcentral
GGGCCCGCACAAGCGGUGGAGCAUGUGGUUUAAUUCGAUGAUACGCGAGGAACCUUACCAGGGCUUAAAUGUGGUCUGACAGCUUUAGAGAUAGAGUUUUCUUCGGACAGAUCACAAGGUGCUGCAUGGUUGUCGUCAGCUCGUGCCGUGAGGUGUCAGGUUAAGUCCUAUAACGAGCGCAACCCCUAUCGUUAGUUGCUAGCAGGUAAUGCUGAGGACUCUAGCGAGACUGCCGGUGCAAACCGUGAGGAAGGUGGGGAUGACGUCAAAUCAUCACGGCCCUUACGUCCUGGGCCACACACGUGCUACAAUGGUAUGGACAAAGGGCAGCAAGUUCGCGAGGACAAGCAAAUCCCAUAAACCGUGGCUCAGUUCAGAUCGUAGGCUGCAACUCGCCUACGUG